This 421-nucleotide ribosomal RNA is filed under the name uncultured bacterium. Its description in RNAcentral is "bacterial SSU rRNA". It matches the Rfam family "Bacterial small subunit ribosomal RNA", at positions 355 to 774 of the family's 1533-position model. The record is from RNAcentral.
UAAGGAAUAUUGGUCAAUGGACGCAAGUCUGAACCAGCCAUGCCGCGUGAAGGAUGAAGGUCCUCUGGAUUGUAAACUUCUUUUAUCUGGGACGAAAACGGGAUUUUUAUCUCAAUUGACGGUACCAGAGGAAUAAGCACCGGCUAACUCCGUGCCAGCAGCCGCGGUAAUACGGAGGGUGCGAGCGUUACUCGGAAUUACUGGGCGUAAAGGGUGCGCAGGCGGUCUUGCAAGUCAGAUGUGAAAGCCCCGGGCUUAACCUGGGAAUUGCGUUUGAAACUACAAGGCUAGAGUGCAGCAGAGGGGAGUGGAAUUCCAUGUGUAGCAGUGAAAUGCGUAGAGAUGUGGAAGAACACCGAUGGCGAAGGCAGCUCCCUGGGUUGACACUGACGCUCAUGCACGAAAGCGUGGGGAGCAAACA